RNAcentral lists this unclassified non-coding RNA (5303 nucleotides) under Manduca sexta (tobacco hornworm). Its description in RNAcentral is "muscle calcium channel subunit alpha-1, transcript variant X1". The record is from RNAcentral. Lineage: Eukaryota; Metazoa; Arthropoda; Insecta; Lepidoptera; Sphingidae.
AUGGCGACGUUAGAGCAGCCUCCACCGACGGAGGCGACGACCCCUGGGGCGGACAGCGUGUUGGACCCCACGCAGGCGGCAGCGACCCCCGCGCCCCGCAAGCAGGGCCGGCCUCGAGGCAAGCCGCUGCCAGAGAGGCCCAAACGAAGUUUACUGUGUCUUGGACUGAAGAAUCCAUUGAGAAAAUUGUGUUAUGAUAUUGUUGAGUGGAAACCUUUCGAGUACAUGAUAUUGACGACGAUCUUCGCCAACUGCAUCGCCCUGGCGGUGUUCACCCCCUACCCCUCUGGGGAUACGAAUAAUACUAAUCAGAUAUUGGAAAAAGUAGAAUGGAUCUUCAUGGUGAUAUUUACUGGUGAGUGCGUGAUGAAGAUCAUAGCGUACGGGUUCCUGUUCCAUCCCGGCGCGUACCUCAGGAACACGUGGAACAGUCUCGACUUCACCAUAGUUACUAUAGGUAUAGUGAGCAUGAUCCUCCAGAUCAUCUCGAAGGACUCUAUCGAUGUGAAGGCGCUGCGAGCUUUCAGAGUGCUGCGGCCUCUUCGACUAGUCUCAGGAGUACCAAGUCUACAAAUCGUGUUGAACUCCAUUCUUAAGGCCAUGGUGCCGCUCUUCCAUAUAGCAUUUUUAGUGCUGUUUGUUAUCAUCAUCUACGCUAUUAUUGGGCUGGAGCUGUUCUCUGGCAUCCUUCAUGACACCUGCUACUCUAAUGAGACAGGUAACAUGAUGGACAAUCCAACACCUUGCGUAAAAGACGGUGAUGUGGGCUACAGAUGCAAGGCAGACGAGAUCUGCAAAGGUGAUUGGGAAGGGCCCAACGAUGGGAUCACCAGCUUCGACAAUAUCGGCUAUGCUAUGCUCACUGUGUUCCAGUGUAUUACUUUGGAAGGAUGGACGGAUAUUAUGUACGCUAUCGCUAACGUCAAAGGCAACACGUGGCCCUGGAUAUACUUCGUCACGAUGGUCAUCUUCGGCAAUUUCUUCGUGAUGAAUCUAAUUCUUGGUGUUUUGUCCGGAGAGUUCUCAAAAGAGAGAGAAAAAGCUAAGAGUCGCGGUGACUUCCAGAAGUCCAGAGAGAGACAGCAAUUCGAAGAGGAUUUGAAGGGAUACUUGAACUGGAUCACGGUGGCGGAGGAACUGGAUUUGGAGAAUGAUCAAGCACAGAAAGAGGAUGAUCAGGAUUCGCAGGGCAAUAAAAAAGAAAGGAAAAGCAAUGAAGGCUCACAGACGAAUGUGAAUAUGAAUGGGGAUCAAGGACAGUCGUCUACAUGUAAAGUGUAUUGCAAGAGAUUUGAUAAGGUGAACAGGCGUAUGCGCAGGGCAUGCAGGAAGGCGGUGAAGUCUCAGGCGUUCUACUGGACUAUCAUCGUACUGGUGUUCCUGAAUACCAUGGUUUUGGCUACCGAACAUUACAAACAACCCAAAUGGUUGGACCGGUUCCAGAACUACGCUAACUACAUGUUCGUUGUGCUGUUCACGAUGGAGAUGCUGGUCAAAAUGUACGCUCUGGGAUUUCAGGGAUACUUCGUGUCCUUAUUCAAUCGUUUCGACUGUUUCGUCAUGAUCUGCUCCAUCAUCGAGUUGGCGCUGACGGCAGCAGGCAGCAUCCCGCAGCUCGGUAUAUCCGUGUUGCGAUGCGUCAGGCUGCUCAGGGUGUUCAAAGUUACCAAAUACUGGCGUUCCCUCUCCAACCUGGUAGCUUCACUGCUGAACUCUAUCCAAUCCAUCUUCUCUCUGCUGCUGUUGCUGUUCUUGUUCAUCAUGAUCUUCGCGCUGCUCGGCAUGCAAGUGUUUGGUGGGAGAUUCGACUACCAACCCGAAGCUGAGAAGGAGAGGCACAACUUCGAUUCCUUCUGGCAGGCUGUGUUGACUAUGUUUCAGAUCCUAACUGGUGAGGAUUGGAACGUGGUGAUGUACGAAGGUAUCAAGGCGUACGGAGGCGUGGGAACUCCUGGAAUGCUCGCCUCUAUAUACUUCAUCGUCAUCUUUAUUUGUGGCAACUAUAUUUUACUAAACGUGUUCUUGGCUAUCGCCGUCGACAACUUGGGUGAUGCUGAAGAAAUGGACGAGAUUGAGAAGGCAAAGGAGGACGCUGAAAAUCCUGAAGCAGGAAACCCUCAAUUGGAUGAAGAGAGGCCAGAAACUGAUGAUGAAUUUGCUAAUGAAGAAGAGGGCUACUCCAGUGAAGGAUCAGAUCAUGAAUACGAAGAGACUGGUUCAGAAGAAGACGUAGAGGAGCAGGAGCAGGAAAGAGAAAAUGCAAACGAAGCACUCGUUAAUAAUGAAAAGAAACAGAAUGGUGACGUAAAAAAAGAAGAGUCACCUCCAAAACGCCCAGCCGGUAUUUCAGCUCGGCCGCGAAGGUUGUCGGAGGUGGAGAUCAAGACGCAAGAGAAACCCAUACCUGAUGGCACUAGCUUCUUCAUAUUCUCUAAAACGAAUUGGUUCCGUGUAAUGUGCUACACAAUUCAGAAUCAUUCCUGGUUCAAAAAUCUGAUAUUGGUGUGUAUUCUGGCGUCUUCGCUCAUGCUGGCGAUGGAAGACCCCGUCCCGAGCUCCGGCACUGAGGGUACAGUCGAAAUUCUCCGCAAGAUCGACUACUUCUUUACGGCGGUGUUCACCAUCGAGUUGGUGCUGAAGGUCAUCACCUACGGGUUCAUCCUCCACAAGGAUUCGUUCUGUCGCUCCGCGUUCAAUCUUCUUGAUCUACUCGUUGUCAUCGUGUCACUAGUCUCUUUGUUAGAUUUAAAGACAAACAGCAUAUCGUUCAUUAAGAUCUUGAGAGUGUUCAGAGUGUUGAGGCCUCUGAGGGCCAUCAACAGAGCCAAAGGAUUGAAGCACGUAGUACAGUGCGUCAUUGUUGCUAUAAAGACGAUCGGCAACAUUUUAUUGGUGACAAAUCUUCUACAAUUCAUGUUCGCGGUCAUGGGAGUGCAAAUGUUCAAGGGAAGAUUUUGCAAAUGUACAGACAGUACAAAAGUAACGGAGCUAGAGUGCAAAGGGUCAUAUAUAAUUUACGAGAACUCUAAGCCCACAAUACACGACCGCCAAUGGUUAACCAAUAAGUUCAAUUUCGAUGAUGUCCUGAGCGGAAUGUUGACGCUCUUCACCGUGUCUACCUUCGAGGGAUGGCCGUCAUUACUGUCCACCUCCAUGGAUUCGAAUGAGGAGGACCACGGACCGAUAGAGAAUUCUCGACCUUUGGUGGCGUUCUUCUACAUCAGUUACAUUAUUGUCAUAGCUUUCUUCAUGGUGAAUAUCUUCGUGGGUUUCGUUAUCGUGACAUUCCAGAAAGAGGGUGAGCAGGAGUUCAAAGAUUGUGAAUUAGACAAGAAUCAGAGGAAUUGUAUAGAGUUUGCCUUGAAGGCGAAGCCGGUAAGAAGGUACAUUCCAAAGCACCGUAUCCAGUACAAGACGUGGUGGUUCGUGACGUCACAGCGGUUCGAAUACUUCAUAUUCUUCUUCAUCGUUCUCAACACGAUCGCGCUCAUGAUGAAGUUCCAUGGUGCCUCUCCUGAGUAUAAGAAGGGUUUGGACUACCUCAACAUGCUGUUGACCACGGUGUUCAUGCUGGAGUUUGUGUUCAAGCUAGCUGCUUUUAGAUUUAAGAAUUACUUUGGAGACGCGUGGAACACGACAGACUUUAUUUUGGUUAUCGGAAGUAUCAUAGACAUUGUGGUCACUCAAGUCAACGAGAAUAGACCGGAGCAAAUUUAUGGCGCGACCAGAUCAACUAUGGAGGGCAUGAACCUCAAAUACAUAACCUUUUUCCGUCUCUUCCGUGCGAUGCGUCUCAUCAAGCUACUAUCAAGAGGAGAGAGGAUUCGGACCCUCCUGUGGACCUUCAUCAAGUCUUUCCAGGCGCUGCCCUAUGUAGCCCUGCUGAUCGUUCUUCUGUUCUUCAUCUAUGCUGUGGUGGGGAUGCAGUUGUUCGGCAAGGCGUUCCCUGACGACGAGAUCAUCACCAGUAACAACAACUUCCAGACCUUCGGAGGAGCCCUCAUGGUGCUGUUCAGAUCCGCUACAGGUGAGGCAUGGCAGGAGAUCAUGAUGGCGUUGUCCACCAACACCCUAGAGCGUCCCGGGGAGCCAGUGCGCUGCAUCGCCCACAUCGACAAGGACGGCGUGCCGCAACCAGACGACGAGUUAUGUGGCAACUGGCUCGCGUUCCCGUACUUCAUAUCGUUCUCAUUACUCUGCACCUUCUUGAUCAUAAAUUUGUUCGUGGCGGUCAUCAUGGACAACUUCGAUUAUUUGACUAGGGACUGGUCUAUCUUGGGACCGCAUCAUCUUGACGAGUUUAUCAGGUUAUGGAGUGAAUACGACCCUGACGCCAAAGGCAGGAUCAAACAUCUGGACGUGGUCACGUUGCUCAGGAAAAUCAGUCCACCUUUAGGUUUCGGCAAGCUGUGUCCACAUCGUACGGCGUGCAAGCGUCUCGUGUCGAUGAACAUGCCGCUCAACUCCGACGGCACCGUCAACUUCAACGCCACACUCUUCGCUGUGGUCCGGACGCAGCUUCAGAUCAAGACCACGGGAGUCAUAGACGAAUGCAACACGGAACUCCGUGCAAUAAUAAAGAAGGUUUGGAAGAGGACGUCCCCCAAACUCCUGGACCAGGUGGUGCCGCCGCCCGGGGACCCCAACGAGAUCACCGUCGGCAAGUUCUACGCCACCUUCCUCAUACAGGACUACUUCAGGAGGAACCAUGCGUUCCGUAAGAGAAAGGAGCAGGCGGCGGCGGCGUCGGUCACGAGCAACCAGAUGACGCUGCAGGCUGGCCUGCGGACCCUGCAUGAGGCAGGACCGGAGCUCAAGCGAGCCAUCUCCGGGAACCUGGACGAGAUUGUGGUGGAAGCUGUGGAGCCUAUGCAUAGGCGCAACCACACCCUAUUCGGCGCGGUGUGGACGAGCCUCAAGAAGCACGGGAAGGACGGGUUCAGCCGCUACCGACCCCACGCGGCUGCACCGCCGCGGACCAAGACGCAGAAUGAUAUUGAAGAAGAAGGCCCAUCUCUAAGUUCCAUGAUGAGGAGAGAGCUGGGACUCGACGGGAAAAUACCGGAAGAGGAAGUAAAAUACGACGACGGCAAUCAUAGCGACGAAGAGAUCGCGAUGCAACCACUCCUGCACGGAAAGGACUCUGAGAAGAUCUUCAAAGCUAUAGAAUCGUGACAAAGAGCCGAAACAGAGCAACAACGUGCCUUAUUGUGUAGAGAAUCCAGCGGAGAACCUUAUAACACGGGUGUUGAUGGAGCAGGGGUUAGGCAAGUACUGCGACAAGGAUUUCAUCCAGAGUACCU